GCGUGCUUAACACAUGCAAGUCGAACGGUAAGGCUCUUCGGAGUACACGAGUGGCGAACGGGUGAGUAACACGUGAGCAACCUACCCUUGACACUGGAAUAAGCGCUCGAAAGGGCGUCUAAUACCGGAUAUUACUUCUUCAGACAUCUGAUGAAGUGGAAAGCUCCGGCGGUCAAGGAUGGGCUCGCGGCCUAUCAGCUAGUUGGUGAGGUAACGGCUCACCAAGGCUUCGACGGGUAGCCGGCCUGAGAGGGCGACCGGCCACACUGGGACUGAGAUACGGCCCAGACUCCUACGGGAGGCAGCAGUGGGGAAUAUUGCACAAUGGGCGCAAGCCUGAUGCAGCAACGCCGCGUGCGGGAUGACGGCCUUCGGGUUGUAAACCGCUUUCAGCACCGACGAAGCGAAAGUGACGGUAGGUGCAGAAGAAGGACCGGCCAACUACGUGCCAGCAGCCGCGGUGAUACGUAGGGUCCGAGCGUUGUCCGGAAUUAUUGGGCGUAAAGAGCUCGUAGGCGGUUUGUCGCGUCGGAAGUGAAAACUCAGGGCUUAACUCUGAGCCUGCUUCCGAUACGGGCAGACUAGAGGAAGUUAGGGGAGAACGGAAUUCCUGGUGGAGCGGUGGAAUGCGCAGAUAUCAGGAGGAACACCGGUGGCGAAGGCGGUUCUCUGGGACUUUCCUGACGCUGAGGAGCGAAAGCGUGGGGAGCAAACAGGCUUAGAUACCCUGGUAGUCCACGCCGUAAACGGUGGGCACUAGGUGUGGGUCACAUUCCACGUGAUCCGUGCCGUAGCUAACGCAUUAAGUG
Molecule: ribosomal RNA, 809 nt
Filed under: bacterium
Lineage: Bacteria
Description: bacterial SSU rRNA
Rfam family: Bacterial small subunit ribosomal RNA
Source: RNAcentral